This 254-nucleotide ribosomal RNA is filed under the name uncultured bacterium. Its description in RNAcentral is "partial 16S ribosomal RNA". It matches the Rfam family "Bacterial small subunit ribosomal RNA", at positions 524 to 776 of the family's 1533-position model. The record is from RNAcentral.
UACGUAGGGUGCGAGCGUUAAUCGGAAUUACUGGGCGUAAAGCGUGCGCAGGCGGUGAUGUAAGACCGAUGUGAAAUCCCCGGGCUUAACCUGGGAACUGCAUUGGUGACUGCAUCGCUCGAGUAUGGCAGAGGGGGGUAGAAUUCCACGUGUAGCAGUGAAAUGCGUAGAGAUGUGGAGGAAUACCGAUGGCGAAGGCAGCCCCCCUGGGCCAAUACUGACGCUCAUGCACGAAAGCGUGGGGAGCAAACAGG